This is an RNA transcript of Manihot esculenta (cassava), 1321 nucleotides long. RefSeq lists it as uncharacterized. The record is from RefSeq and is a predicted model, not a curated record. Lineage: Eukaryota; Viridiplantae; Streptophyta; Magnoliopsida; Malpighiales; Euphorbiaceae. The transcript is spliced from 3 exons.
GAGAGGACAAGUUGAAAAUAAUAGAAACAUUGGGCGCAACGGCACAAAAACAACGCAUAUAGUAAAUUUUAUCUUUUGAAAAAUAGGUAGCUUAAAGUUGCAGCUUUCAGGAGACAGCGAUCUCUCCACCUUCGCCGAGGAUAAUUUAUUGAAGACAAAAUCUCUGGGAAACAGAGGGAAGGAGGAAUGAGUCCAAUCUUAAGAACCAGAGAAAUGAGUUUGUGUUCCUUGAUAUUGUUUUUUGCUUCAAUUUCUCUGCAAUUCAUUUCAGGUACUUCUGAUGAUCCAUCUAGUUCCAAAAAUGGCUCAAAAGCCAAUGCUCAUACUUCUUCUGGUAGCAAUUCUGGGAGAAAGAUUGUCAUCAUACUUCUUCUUAUAUUUAUGGCAGUAGGGCUGUUUUCAUUUUUCCUUUUCAAAUUUUGGCAAAAGAAGAAAAGAGAAGAACAGUAUGCUCGUCUUCUCAAGUUGUUUGAAGAGGAUGAUGAGCUUGAGGUUGAACUGGGACUGCGGGAUUGAUGCUUGGAAUGUUAAAAUCACAUCCAUUGUAGUUUGAGGUGCGUCUAUUAAUUGCUGAAAUGGAAAUAUUUCUAGGAAAACUUCUUACCCUGAGUGCCAUGAUAUGGUAUGUCGGGAUGUCCUGGUUAGAAGUUAGCUGUUUUUCAGUCACAGUGCUGUAAUCAAUUAUCCAAAUUAGAACUUGUAAUGAAUAUGAAUCCUUUAGAGUAUUUACAGAAGAGGACAUAAGAUGUGUGAAGGGUCUCAGUUCCAGAUUGUAAAAAAACUAUUCAUUCCAAUAGACAUUGAAGUUGUAUAAGAGUCAAGAGUUUCAACUGACGAUUCUUGAAUAGCAGGCGGAAAGGACAAGUGAUUCAACUCACACUCUGGGUUCUGGAGGUCAGAUCAGGUUCAGUUCAAGAUUUUGGUAUCUGCUAUAUUUGACGCAAUAUUUUCCACUGUAGUGUGAGUUCGUCGGCACACUCUUCAUCUUUUCCUUGUUUAGAGAAGGUGUUUUCUCAUUUCCUCGUAGCAUGGCUGCAUUUAUUUUGCUGAGUUACUGUGAUCUACACUGUUCCCUGAAUUACCCUUUUUUAAUUUUUUUCCUUUUUCAUGUUCAAAUUGAGUUUGAAGUUUAUAUGAAAGUGUGGAUUCUCCAUUGAACUGUAUUAAUGCCUCUUGGGUAUCAAGGCCCCAUCUUUGGCACAAUGUAUAUGGCUGUAUGGUAUUACUUGGAAGUUUUACUGAUAUCUUUGAACUUAUACCAGGGGUAUUGUGGAAUUAGAAUAGGCCUGUAAGAGCAUUGAAUCCCAAGUUAUUAUGGAUA